Molecule: ribosomal RNA, 425 nt
Filed under: uncultured bacterium
Lineage: Bacteria
Description: partial 16S ribosomal RNA
Rfam family: Bacterial small subunit ribosomal RNA
Source: RNAcentral
GUGGGGAAUCGUAGACAAUGGGCGCAAGCCUGAUCUAGCCAUGCCGCGUGAGCGAUGAAGGCCUUAGGGUUGUAAAGCUCUUUCGUGGGGGAAGAUAAUGACUGUACCCCAAGAAGAAGCCCCGGCUAACUCCGUGCCAGCAGCCGCGGUAAUACGGAGGGGGCUAGCGUUGUUCGGAAUUACUGGGCGUAAAGCGCACGUAGGCGGACUGGAAAGUCAGGGGUGAAAUCCCGGGGCUCAACCCCGGAACUGCCUUUGAAACUCCCAGUCUUGAGUUCGAGAGAGGUGAGUGGAAUUCCGAGUGUAGAGGUGAAAUUCGUAGAUAUUCGGAGGAACACCAGUGGCGAAGGCGGCUCACUGGCUCGAUACUGACGCUGAGGUGCGAAAGCGUGGGGAGCAAACAGGAUUAGAUACCCUAGUAGUCC